This 444-nucleotide ribosomal RNA is filed under the name Salmonella enterica subsp. enterica serovar Dublin. Its description in RNAcentral is "partial 23S ribosomal RNA". It matches the Rfam family "Bacterial large subunit ribosomal RNA", at positions 161 to 641 of the family's 2925-position model. Lineage: Bacteria; Pseudomonadati; Pseudomonadota; Gammaproteobacteria; Enterobacterales; Enterobacteriaceae. The record is from RNAcentral.
AAUCCAUAGGUUAAUGAGGCGAACCGGGGGAACUGAAACAUCUAAGUACCCCGAGGAAAAGAAAUCAACCGAGAUUCCCCCAGUAGCGGCGAGCGAACGGGGAGGAGCCCAGAGCCUGAAUCAGCAUGUGUGUUAGUGGAAGCGUCUGGAAAGGCGCGCGAUACAGGGUGACAGCCCCGUACACAAAAGCGCAUGUGCUGUGAGCUCGAUGAGUAGGGCGGGACACGUGGUAUCCUGUCUGAAUAUGGGGGGACCAUCCUCCAAGGCUAAAUACUCCUGACUGACCGAUAGUGAACCAGUACCGUGAGGGAAAGGCGAAAAGAACCCCGGCGAGGGGAGUGAAAAAGAACCUGAAACCGUGUACGUACAAGCAGUGGGAGCACAGGUUUACCUGUGUGACUGCGUACCUUUUGUAUAAUGGGUCAGCGACUUAUAUUCUGUAGC